RNAcentral lists this ribosomal RNA (468 nucleotides) under uncultured bacterium. RNAcentral describes it as "partial 16S ribosomal RNA". It matches the Rfam family "Bacterial small subunit ribosomal RNA", at positions 330 to 793 of the family's 1533-position model. The record is from RNAcentral.
CCCAGACUCCUACGGGAGGCAGUAGUGAGGAAUAUUGGUCAAUGGGCUUACGCCUGAACCAGCCAAGUCGCGUGAGGGAAGACUGCCCUAUGGGUUGUAAACCUCUUUUGUCAGGGAGCAACGCCGGCUACGUGUAGCCGGACUGAGAGUACCUGAAGAAAAAGCAUCGGCUAACUCCGUGCCAGCAGCCGCGGUAAUACGGAGGAUGCGAGCGUUAUCCGGAUUUAUUGGGUUUAAAGGGUGCGUAGGUUGUUUUUUAAGUCAGCGGUGAAAGUUUGUGGCUCAACCAUAAAAUUGCCGUUGAAACUGGAAGACUUGAGUGUGUUUGAGGUAGGCGGAAUGCGUGGUGUAGCGGUGAAAUGCAUAGAUAUCACGCAGAACCCCGAUUGCGAAGGCAGCAUACCGGUGCACAACUGACGCUCAGGCACGAAAGCGUGGGUAUCGAACAGGAUUAGAUACCCCAGUACG